AUACGGAGGAUCCGAGCGUUAUCCGGAUUUAUUGGGUUUAAAGGGUGCGCAGGCGGCCAUUUAAGUCAGCGGUUAAAUCGUGGGGCUCAACCCCAUUCUGCCGUUGAUACUGGGUGGCUUGAUUGCGGUCGAGGUUGGCGGAAUUCGCUGUGUAGCGGUGAAAUGCAUAGAUAUGACGAAGAACACCGAUUGCGUAGGCAGCUGACCAGACCGCAAAUGACGCUCAUGCACGAAAGUGCGGGGAUCGAACAGGAUUAGAUACCCUGGUAGUCCGCACAGUAAACGAUGAAUACUUGUUUUCGGCGAUAUAAUGUCGGAGGCAAAGCGAAAGCGAUAAGUAUUCCACCUGGGGAGUACGCCGGCAACGGUGAAACUAAAAUGAAUUGACGGGG
RNAcentral lists this ribosomal RNA (392 nucleotides) under uncultured bacterium. RNAcentral describes it as "partial 16S ribosomal RNA". It matches the Rfam family "Bacterial small subunit ribosomal RNA", at positions 523 to 918 of the family's 1533-position model. The record is from RNAcentral.